Molecule: ribosomal RNA, 376 nt
Filed under: uncultured bacterium
Lineage: Bacteria
Description: partial 16S ribosomal RNA
Rfam family: Bacterial small subunit ribosomal RNA
Source: RNAcentral
AUACGUAGGGGGCGAGCGUUGUCCGGAAUGAUUGGGCGUAAAGGGCGCGUAGGCGGCGCGGUAAGUCUGGAGUGAAAGUCCUGCUUUCAAGGUGGGAAUUGCUUUGGAUACUGCCGCGCUUGAGUGCAGGAGAGGUUAUCGGAAUUCCCGGUGUAGCGGUGAAAUGCGUAGAGAUCGGGAGGAACACCAGUGGCGAAGGCGGGUAACUGGACUGCAACUGACGCUGAGGCGCGAAAGUGUGGGGAGCAAACAGGAUUAGAUACCCUGGUAGUCCACACUGUAAACGAUGAAUGCUAGGUGUAAGAGGUAUCGACCCCUUUUGUGCCGGAGUCAACACAAUAAGCAUUCCGCCUGGGGAGUACGGCCGCAAGGUUGA